Molecule: transfer RNA, 67 nt
Filed under: Parataeniophorus gulosus
Lineage: Eukaryota; Metazoa; Chordata; Actinopteri; Beryciformes; Cetomimidae
Description: tRNA-Ser (AGY)
Source: RNAcentral
GAGAGAGAAAUGAAAGUAUAAGAACUGCUAAUUCUCAUAACCCCGGUUAAAUCCCGAGGCUCCCUCG